ACAGCAGCAGCCGCGGUAAUACAGAGGGUGCGAGCGUUAAUCGGAUUUACUGGGCGUAAAGCGUGCGUAGGCGGCUUCUUAAGUCGGAUGUGAAAUCCCUGAGCUUAACUUAGGAAUUGCAUUCGAUACUGGGAAGCUAGAGUAUGGGAGAGGAUGGUAGAAUUCCAGGUGUAGCGGUGAAAUGCGUAGAGAUCUGGAGGAAUACCGAUGGCGAAGGCAGCCAUCUGGCCUAAUACUGACGCUGAGGUACGAAAGCAUGGGGAGCAAACAGGAUUAGAGACCCGUGUAGUCCCUGUCUCUUAUAA
Molecule: ribosomal RNA, 305 nt
Filed under: uncultured bacterium
Lineage: Bacteria
Description: partial 16S ribosomal RNA
Rfam family: Bacterial small subunit ribosomal RNA
Source: RNAcentral